UGGUGUGAUGUACUCAGGUGAAUAAGAUGCUUGUGUGAUGUGUAUCACACAAGCAUCUUAUUCACCUGAGUACAUUACA
This is a non-coding RNA of Paramuricea clavata, 79 nucleotides long. NCBI's taxonomy places the organism in Eukaryota, Metazoa, Cnidaria, Anthozoa, Malacalcyonacea, Plexauridae. The record is from the annotation of a GenBank genome assembly.